Molecule: ribosomal RNA, 765 nt
Filed under: uncultured Streptococcus sp.
Lineage: Bacteria; Bacillati; Bacillota; Bacilli; Lactobacillales; Streptococcaceae
Description: bacterial SSU rRNA
Rfam family: Bacterial small subunit ribosomal RNA
Source: RNAcentral
GACGAACGCUGGCGGCGUGCCUAAUACAUGCAAGUAGAACGCUGAAGGAGGAGCUUGCUUCUCUGGAUGAGUUGCGAACGGGUGAGUAACGCGUAGGUAACCUGCCUGGUAGCGGGGGAUAACUAUUGGAAACGAUAGCUAAUACCGCAUAAGAGUAGAUGUUGCAUGACAUUUGCUUAAAAGGUGCAAUUGCAUCACUACCAGAUGGACCUGCGUUGUAUUAGCUAGUUGGUGGGGGAACGGCUCACCAAGGCGACGAUACAUAGCCGACCUGAGAGGGUGAUCGGCCACACUGGGACUGAGACACGGCCCAGACUCCUACGGGAGGCAGCAGUAGGGAAUCUUCGGCAAUGGACGGAAGUCUGACCGAGCAACGCCGCGUGAGCGAAGAAGGUUUUCGGAUCGUAAAGCUCUGUUGUAAGAGAAGAACGAGUGUGAGAGUGGAAAGUUCACACUGUGACGGUAUCUUACCAGAAAGGGACGGCUAACUACGUGCCAGCAGCCGCGGUAAUACGUAGGUGGCAAGCGUUAUCCGGAUUUAUUGGGCGUAAAGAGAGUGCAGGCGGUUUUCUAAGUCUGAUGUGAAAGCCUUCGGCUUAACCGGAGAAGUGCAUCGGAAACUGGAUAACUUGAGUGCAGAAGAGGGUAGUGGAACUCCAUGUGUAGCGGUGGAAUGCGUAGAUAUAUGGAAGAACACCAAUAGGCGAAGGCAGCUAACUGGUUAUAUAUUGACACUAAGGGACGAAAGCGUGGGGAGCAAACAGG